CUCCAGCAUCUUCUCCAGCUGAGCCGGGCAGAGACGUGGACAGUCACGACCACAUGCGGUGAUGGAACAUUCGGCAUCGGGAUCGGUCUAACCUUUGGAGUGAACAUGUGAGCGAUCCCAUCGACCGAUCCUUUCAGCAUCAGACCUCUGACCAGGAAGCAGAACAGAACCAGAACGGCACCUUUCCAGAGGAGGCUAUCCCUUUAAUGACGGCGAGGCAGACGAUAAUCCAGGCCACCAGCAGGGACAGGGUCAUCUUCACGUUCAGCCCGCCGCUCUCUGCGAUGGUGCUGGUGGUGUUCAGAGUCUGGCGGUACCAGAAAGUGCAGGAUUGGAGCGCUCUCCAUGAGGACCUCCAUGUUUAAACCCCAACAUGCAGCUGGAGCUUCUCCUCACCAUCAGACUCGACAUUCCUAUCCCUCCCAGACGAGGACAGACAUAGUUCCACACGCCGAUGCUCCCACGCCGGAUCUUCUGACCCACCGCCAGCUCCAAGAAGAAGAGCGGGAUGCCGAUGAUGAUGAGGAGGAUGAAGUAUGGAACCAAGUAGGCCCCUAAAAAACAAGAUAAAACAUCAAUUUUUUUAAAAUUCCUUCACAUUAGGACAAGUUUUACUCAAGUUCUUAUUCUUCUUUCUUUUUCUGCCAUUGGGGGAAAAUUUGACCCCAUCACAAACACAAAACCUCCCUAAGAUUUGCACUUACCUAAUACUCGAUGAAAAAAAAAAAA
Oryzias melastigma (Indian medaka) is the source of this 729-nucleotide long non-coding RNA. RefSeq lists it as uncharacterized. NCBI's taxonomy places the organism in Eukaryota, Metazoa, Chordata, Actinopteri, Beloniformes, Adrianichthyidae. The record is from RefSeq and is a predicted model, not a curated record. The transcript is spliced from 3 exons.